Cuculus canorus (common cuckoo) is the source of this 1167-nucleotide long non-coding RNA. RefSeq lists it as uncharacterized. The record is from RefSeq and is a predicted model, not a curated record. NCBI's taxonomy places the organism in Eukaryota, Metazoa, Chordata, Aves, Cuculiformes, Cuculidae. The transcript is spliced from 3 exons.
UAUUUUUUAAAAAUUUGUCACUUCUAAAUUCUAAUACAAUUGUAUUUCUGUUAUAGCAGGAUUAGAUUUGGUAACAGAUGGUAAAACUGCAAAACUGCCUCUGCUUCAUUAGAGCCCCUGGCAAGACUCCUAUAAGGGGCUGCACAGAGAUCAGUGAAUCAUUGCCUGUGGAUCAUCCUGGGGUCAACUGCAUGAAAAUGACAUAAGUGUAUUUCCUAACAGGAACUGGCUUCAAACUAUAGUUUCAAGACCUAUUACUUCUGAAGUCAGAGGAACAAUUCCCGGGAGUUAUUUGUGAGUCUCCCUGCUUCCACCUUGGCUAACUUGAUAGGGAUUUAAUGUGAGAGUUAAUGUGAGUAGUGAACACUUGCUUGAUGGCAUGGCAAAGGCUUCUUUGGACAGGAUGCAGAGAAGGCUAUACCAUGCUUACUAAUGGGUUAUGUAAGGAUUUGCAGUAACAUGUCCCUUGAUGGGAGAAAGUAGGAAUAAAAUAGGAUUUUAGGGACUAUAUUAAUAAUGAAUGACAGGAUAGUAGUUAAUAGAUGUCUAUCUGUAAUUCUAUUCUACUACAAAUGCAGGGGAAACUUCAUUUACUGUGGAAAGAUUCUCAUUUUUCCAGAGCUGUAAUGCAGCGUGCAGUUAAAAUUAGGCUGUCUCAUUAAUUGUCAAAGUAUAUGGUGGAAUUACAGCAGCCAGCUUCAGCGCAGGAUUAGAUAUGCCUCUGCAGGGGAGAUCUUGCAGAAAGGCCCAAGGUGGGAGUGCAGCUCCAUCAGGACCCCUUUGAUGAAACCACUCCCUGGGAAGAGGGGUGCCUGUGGGCAGGGGAAAGCCGGUGUGGUGGCUCUCCUCCUUUCUCUCUCAGUCUGCUCAGGCUUUGUUGGAGCACCCAGAGCACUGUCCAUGGAGUGCUCAUGAGCAAAGCAUGUCCCGCAUCAGAUGGCUGCAGAAUAUGCUCCGCUUGUGAAAGGUGAUGAGUACCUGUGCCCACUCCCCAAUACUUGCCCCAAUUCCUGAGCUUAGCUGUACUGGGCCAGGGUAAAGGAUGAGCAGAAAUCAUCCCAGCCUCUAAGCCUCAAGACAAUAUGGUUAUUCAGAAACUAGGAUCCCAUAAGAUUUCUCAUGCCUACGGGAUGUAGUUUAUAUGGAGAAAAAUCAGUUUACAGGAAU